AAACAGACGAAGAUGGAGACAAGUAAAAAGCGAGCAGACAAGUUUGAGCGAGUCAGCGAACGGUGCGAGGCUGAUAACUUUAACGCUUUUGAAAUCACUCUGGAGUCCCGUUUCCGAAAGUAAGUAAGAAAUGGCGCGAACCUAGCGUUAUAGGUGUAUCAAAGUGGGUGGCGAUCCGUCGUCAUCAACAAGGGUGGUACCGCGAUUCAUCUCGUCCCUUUU
RNAcentral lists this non-coding RNA (222 nucleotides) under Listeria grayi. Its description in RNAcentral is "T-box sequence". It matches the Rfam family "T-box leader". Rfam says of the family: Uncharged tRNA acts as the effector for transcription antitermination of genes in the T-box leader family. T-boxes are found upstream of many aminoacyl-tRNA synthetase genes and some amino acid biosynthetic genes usually in Gram-positive bacteria. Lineage: Bacteria; Bacillati; Bacillota; Bacilli; Caryophanales; Listeriaceae. The record is from RNAcentral.